This 649-nucleotide ribosomal RNA is filed under the name Lepidurus arcticus. RNAcentral's name for it is "eukaryotic LSU rRNA". It matches the Rfam family "Eukaryotic large subunit ribosomal RNA", at positions 1339 to 1907 of the family's 3401-position model. The record is from RNAcentral. Lineage: Eukaryota; Metazoa; Arthropoda; Branchiopoda; Notostraca; Triopsidae.
UGCCUAUACCAGACCGCCGGUGGCAGAGCCUGCCCCCUGUAAAGGGGUGCACUGAGGCCCCGGUGAGUAGGGGGGUCGCCGCGGUGAGCGUAGAAGGGUCUGGGCGUAAGCCUGCCUGGAGCCGCCGCUGGUGCAGAUCUUGGUGGUAGUAGCAAAUACUCCAGAGAGAUCCUGGAGGACUGACGUGGAGAAGGGUUUCAUGUGAACAGUGGUUGAACAUGAGUCAGUCGGUCCUAAGCCGCAGGUGAAAUCCGGCCCAGGGAACGGCGCGUCGACUGUUUUGUUACAAAACGUGACGAAGCGCCGCUGGGUUAGGCGAAAGGGAAUCCGGUUCUAAUUCCGGAACCCGGUUGCGGAUACGUCCGAGCUCUCGUAGCUCGUCAUGGUAACAUGACAUGACCCGGAGAAGCUGGCGGGGACCCCGGGAAGAGUUUUCUUUUCUGCUUGAGGGGUCGAGACCCUGGAAUUCUGUCGCGGAGCGAUAGGGUUUUGACCCCGAAGAGCGCCGCAGGUCUGCGGCGUCCGUGGGUUCUUGCCGGCCCUUGAAAAUCCGGGGGAGGGCCACGUGGACUUUCCAACCGGACCGUACCGAUAUCCGCAUCAGGUCUCCAAGGUGAACAGCCUCUAGUCGAUAGAUGAAUGUAGGUAA